GAUCUUCCUAUUUUUUUUCUACGACACACACCUUUAUCUCCAUUUUCACCACACAUAACACACAUUUGCGUGUGUAGUUAGCAGAGAGAUCUCGAGAGAGAGAUGAAACCAGUGGAGAUUUGGUAUGCACACAUCACGAGAUUUAAACAGUUGUUCUUGGAAACAUUAUCGUCGCCAAAGUUGAAGAAGAUUUGAGAGUUAGGGUUUCAUUUGAAGACGAAGACGAUGCUGAUGGUGGUCGGGUCAGGUGUGGGUGGCGGCGUGGCGCGAUGGUUGUCGGAUUUGGUGGGUUAGCCGGAUUUGGGGGUGUACGGUUGUCGGAUUUGGUGGGUCAUGUGUCUAAUAAUUAACCAGAGUAGAGUCGGUUAAACAACAACAGCAACAUGAAGGAGCUGUGAUUCAGUGGGAUAGGUUUUUGCCUCUUAGGUCUCUCAAAGUUCUGCUUGUAGAAGAUGAUGACUCGACUCGUCGUGUUGUCAGCGUGCUGCUGCAUAAUUGCAGCUAUGAAGUGGUCAAUGAACUGAGAAAAAUCGAGAUAGUCUUAUUGUUGAAUGCUUUGUAUGUGAUACUGUCAAUUCCCACAUGCUUUAUAUGUGAUACUGUUGAUUCCCACUUGUAAUUUGAAUGAUACUGUUGUAAUUUGUAUGUUAUACUGUUGAUUCCC
Molecule: long non-coding RNA, 664 nt
Filed under: Helianthus annuus (common sunflower)
Lineage: Eukaryota; Viridiplantae; Streptophyta; Magnoliopsida; Asterales; Asteraceae
Description: hypothetical non coding rna
Source: RNAcentral